UCCUCUUACAGGGUUGCCCUCCUCCUCAGC
RNAcentral lists this non-coding RNA (30 nucleotides) under Rattus norvegicus (Norway rat). Lineage: Eukaryota; Metazoa; Chordata; Mammalia; Rodentia; Muridae. The record is from RNAcentral.